GGGUGAGUAACACGUAUGUAACCUGCCCUCUGCAGGGGGAUAAGCGGAAGAAAUUCCGUCUAAUACCGCAUAAUACAAUUUGGAGACAUCUCCGGGUUGUCAAAGGAGUGAUCCGGCAGAGGAUGGACAUGCGGCGCAUUAGCUAGUCGGCGGGGUAACGGCCCACCGAGGCUACGAUGCGUAGGGGUUCUGAGAGGAAGGUCCCCCACACUGGUACUGAGACACGGACCAGACUCCUACGGGAGGCAGCAGUGAGGAAUAUUGGUCAAUGGGCGGAAGCCUGAACCAGCCAAGUCGCGUGAGGGAAGACGGUCCUAUGGAUUGUAAACCUCUUUUGCAGGGGAGCAAGGCGCGGUACGUGUACCGCGAAGGAGAGUACCCUGAGAAAAAGCAUCGGCUAACUCCGUGCCAGCAGCCGCGGUAAUACGGAGGAUGCGAGCGUUAUCCGGAUUUAUUGGGUUUAAAGGGUGCGCAGGCGGACUGUUAAGUCAGCGGUAAAAUGUCGGUGCUCAACACCGGCCGGCCGUUGAAACUGGCAGCCUUGAGUGAGCGAGAAGUAUGCGGAAUGCGUGGUGUAGCGGUGAAAUGCAUAGAUAUCACGCAGAACUCCGAUUGCGAAGGCAGCAUACCGGCGCUCAACUGACGCUCAGGCACGAAAGCGUGGGUAUCGAACAGGCUUAGAUACCCUGGUAGUCCACGCAGUAAACGAU
RNAcentral lists this ribosomal RNA (710 nucleotides) under uncultured bacterium. RNAcentral's name for it is "bacterial SSU rRNA". It matches the Rfam family "Bacterial small subunit ribosomal RNA", at positions 104 to 810 of the family's 1533-position model. The record is from RNAcentral.